Hippopotamus amphibius kiboko is the source of this 1004-nucleotide long non-coding RNA. RefSeq lists it as uncharacterized. The record is from RefSeq and is a predicted model, not a curated record. The transcript has 5 exons. Lineage: Eukaryota; Metazoa; Chordata; Mammalia; Artiodactyla; Hippopotamidae.
GCGGGAGCUUCGAGACUAGAGCGGUGCGAGAGGUAGGUGGUUCGCGGAAAGUUUCUGAAAAAGCGUAUACUGAAAGAUCCAAGUAAAAGUGAGAUAUGGUUGUAUCAACGCAUCUUAAAAGGAGUCGAAACUCCCGCUUGUGAAAUGAAACAUUAUCAUUCCUGUUGAAGAGUCUCGUGUAACCACUUUCCCAGCCACAACCACUGCCCAACUGACCCUGGGUAAACACUCUUCCGAACUUGGUAUUCAUCACUGCGAUGGAUGACCUUAUGUUUAUGCAUCUGGUGUGUUGUAUCCUCCUGAACACGGUGGGCAAAAUUCCCCACAGCACCUCUGGAAUCCUCUGACAAGCCGGGUUCAUGCUUGGCCCAAGACGAUGCCUUGGCUUCCCUGCAGGUACCUGACCUGGGAGGAGCAGACCUACUGGGUAGUCUCCUCCUUUAGGGGUCUGGAAACAUAGAGGACAGAGGAAUAUGUUGAACUGCACCAUGGAUGUGUCCUGAGCAAAACCCAUAUUGUGGGAAACUCUACAUGUCAAAUGGCCUGCAUUCUUCAGCAGGUUCUUAGAAGCUGAGGAUGAAGAUACACUCACAAACCUCAAGAUUCACCUGGUUAAAUGGGACUUCGGGGAUCUUCACACAUCUUAUACGCCAAAACCCAAAGAAGAGAAGCCUGCCCACUGCAAUUUGUUGGAAGUACUUGUAUAAAUAACUUAGUGUGGCUUUUAUUCUUUGAUACUUAUACGGGUUUUUCUGACAUUCACAAAGUUACAUGCCCAUUCAAUCUGUAAAACUGAAAGAGAAAUAUUACUCAAGAAAGUAUUCAAAGGCCCAUGUCAAAAACUGCAACAUAAUAAGACGAGUGAAAAAUGGCUCAGUCCUACGUAUUCUAAGCAUUCUGAGAAGCAUGGGUACAUUUUAAAAGUCGUUGCUGUUCUAAUUCUCUGUGUAUCCAUGGCUUUAAAAAAAUUUUACUGAUUUCUUUGAUAAAGAGUUUAGCAAAUG